This 148-nucleotide non-coding RNA is filed under the name Gorilla gorilla gorilla (western lowland gorilla). Lineage: Eukaryota; Metazoa; Chordata; Mammalia; Primates; Hominidae. The record is from Rfam by way of RNAcentral.
GCCAGGUGUGGUGGUGCACACCUGUAAUCCCAGCUACUCAGGAGGCUGAGGUGGGAGAAUCGCUUGAACCCAGGAGCUGGAGGUUGCAGUGAGCCAAGAUCACAUCAUUGCAUUCCAGCCUGGGCUAUAGUGCGAGACUCCAUCUCAA